RNAcentral lists this ribosomal RNA (605 nucleotides) under uncultured bacterium. RNAcentral describes it as "bacterial SSU rRNA". It matches the Rfam family "Bacterial small subunit ribosomal RNA", at positions 338 to 953 of the family's 1533-position model. The record is from RNAcentral.
CCUACGGGGAGGCGGCAGUGGGGAAGUAUUGCACAAUGGGCGAAAGCCUGAUGCAGCGACGCCGCGUGAGGGAUGACGGCCUUCGGGUUGUAAACCGUCUUUCAGCAGGGAAGAAGCGCAAGUGACGGUACCUGCAGAAGAAGCACCGGCUAACUACGUGCCAGCAGCCGCGGUAAUACGUAGGGUGCGAGCGUUGUCCGGAAUUAUUGGGCGUAAAGAGCUCGUAGGCGGCUUGUCGCGUCGGAUGUGAAAGCCCGGGGCUUAACUCCGGGUCUGCAUUCGAUACGGGCAGGCUAGAGUUCGGUAGGGGAGAUCGGAAUUCCUGGUGUAGCGGUGAAAUGCGCAGAUAUCAGGAGGAACACCGGUGGCGAAGGUGGAUCUCUGGGCCGAUACUGACGCUGAGGAGCGAAAGCUGGGGAGCGAACAGGAUUAGAUACCCUGGUAGUCCACGCCGUAAACGUUGGGAACUAGGUGUGGGCGACAUUCCACGUCGUCCGUGCCGCAGCUAACGCAUAAGUUCCCGCCUCGGGGAGUACGGCGCAAGGNUAAAACACAAAGGAAUUAGAACGGACGNGAGAGAGCGACGACGACGACGAGAGGAGGAG